GUGGGGAAUAUUGGACAAUGGGCGCAAGCCUGAUCCAGCCAUGCCGCGUGAGUGAUGAAGGCCUUAGGGUUGUAAAGCUCUUUCGCCGGGGACGAUGAUGACGGUACCCGGAGAAGAAGCCCCGGCUAACUUCGUGCCAGCAGCCGCGGUAAUACGAAGGGGGCUAGCGUUGUUCGGAAUUACUGGGCGUAAAGCGCGCGUAGGCGGUCAGCCAAGUCAGGGGUGAAAGCCCGGGGCUCAACCUCGGAACUGCCCUUGAGACUGGUUGACUUGAGUAUGGAAGAGGGUCGUGGAAUUCCCAGUGUAGAGGUGAAAUUCGUAGAUAUUGGGAAGAACACCAGUGGCGAAGGCGGCGACCUGGUCCAUUACUGACGCUGAGGUGCGACAGCGUGGGGAGCAAACAGGAUUAGAAACCCGUGUAGUCC
Molecule: ribosomal RNA, 425 nt
Filed under: uncultured bacterium
Lineage: Bacteria
Description: bacterial SSU rRNA
Rfam family: Bacterial small subunit ribosomal RNA
Source: RNAcentral